This 5213-nucleotide unclassified non-coding RNA is filed under the name Hevea brasiliensis (rubber tree). Lineage: Eukaryota; Viridiplantae; Streptophyta; Magnoliopsida; Malpighiales; Euphorbiaceae. The record is from RNAcentral.
AUCAAGAACCCAUCCUGCCUUCAUCCAACGUUUCAAUUCUCGUCCAUGUCCCCAAACCUUUAUAAUCAUCCACGUGGCUGGUCCAUACUUAGCCACGUCACCCAAGUUAGGUCCCUCCUUUGUAAAAGAGAAAUUCUACACCGUCCGGUACUUGUCACCAGAGAAGGUAGCCGCUGCUAAAGCUGGUCAGUUACGGUUGCGGAAGCCUUAGGACUGGAGAGAGAGAAAAGAAGAAGAAGAGAAAAUCUAGAAUAGAAUGAGGAGCGUAUCCUCAAUUUCUUCGUUUUUAUCACUGGGGCUUGUUCGACGAAGAAUAAUCUCUAAUAAGUCUCAAAUCAGUGUUCUUCGCUUCUACUCUGAUGAUCCUUUCCCUCUUUCCUCCCCAAAGCCUCCAGGGCUACUGGGACGCUAUAAGAAUUUGGUUGAUCAAGGGAAGCUGCAGCAUGAUCCUUACCAGGAAAGGGUUGCUCUUGAAUUAGAAAAAUUGCUUGGAAGAUUGGAGCAAUAUGAGAAAGACAUGGAGGAAUAUCACGUAAACCUAGCUAACUGGGAGAAUAAGAGGGAGAAUGAGCGGCUUAAGCUUUUGAUGGAAGAAGCUGAGCAGCAGCAGAAGGGGGACAUAAGGACAUCAGUAAACAAGCAUCGGAAUAAACUUCUUGAAAGAUGGAUGUUUCGGUAAUAAAUAUAGUAAUUCGGCGUAAGCUGGAUUAUUCUAUAUAUCACGUAUUAAUAAUUUUAGAAGCUUAUAACAUAAGGUCUCCUUAUUUAUUCAUUGGUCUAAUAGAUAGUUAUUCCAAGCAUUACACUUUUUUUGCAUAAACCCACAAUGAUGGUGCAUAUAAUGAUAAUGUGCUGCACUGCUGUUCCUUAAUGAUGCUAAGAGUGACAAAGGUAUACAUUAACUCAUGAAUUCCCUGGUGAUUCAUUUUAUGAUUUUGGCUGCACUAUGUACAUGUGAAAACCACUUGUUUUUAUAUUUCAUUCAAAUCUCAUGAUGCAAAUCAGUUCAUUCUCUGGUUGUUGUAAAUUCGUGUUCAUUUUUCUCUCAAAUUCCUUAAAAUAUUUCUGCCUCAGAAACACUUGUUGCUUUUUUAUUUGUGAAUUUAUUUCGUAGUUUUUUCUUUAUUCUAUUUCUUUUAAUCAAUUGAAUUUCUUGACCUAGGAAAAAACCUGAAAAUGUUGAACCUGGAGUGGGUAGAUGGGUUUCAUACCUAAAUAGAGAAAGAAAGUUGGAUUCACUUGUUGGUAGUCGUCCAACUGCUCCUCCAGCACCAAAAGGGCUUUAUAUAUAUGGCAAUGUUGGAAGCGGAAAGACCAUGCUGAUGGAUAUGUUUUAUGGUGCCACUGAAGGAAUUGUUAAACAUCGAAAACGAUUUCACUUUCAUGAGGCUAUGCUGAAUAUAAAUGAACAUAUGCAUAAGAUAUGGAAGAAUCAAGUGGAGGAACAGUCAUUGCAUUCAAGCUUAUCUAGCUGGAUUAUGAAUCUUCCUUUUGAUAUGAAAGUCAAGGAGUGGUUAGCUGCAGAGGAAAGGUAUAAGCAAGAAGUGCAGAUGAAAAACAUUCUCCCUGCGGUUGCAGACAAGUUUCUUGUAGAUCAACAAGGAGAUCAAAAUGGGGCUAGUAUUCUUUGCUUUGAUGAGAUACAGGUACAAAGAAACAUGUUCUGAAAGAGCCAUUAGUAUUCUUUUUCAAUCAUAAAUUCUUGAUCCUGUCAUUAAUAGUUUUUUCUUUGGAGAUCCUAUCUUGGCUAUGGGACGUAUCAAACAUGGUGCACCAUUUGAUGACAACUCAUUUGCAUGUUGUAGGAUGAAUUUUGUGGUUGAGUUUCUUCAUUUUCUUCUCUUAUUUUCUGUCUUUUAGCAAUAAGUCCAUGUUUGGAGCAUUUAAAGUUAUCAUUAUCUGCUAGAACCUGUUAUGGGAAAAAGCAGCUGAUUGAAUUUGCAACUCAUUUCACGACUUAAAAUUUGUGAUUUUAUAUUACAGACAGUUGAUGUAUUUGCUAUUGUGGCCUUAUCUGGAAUUCUAAGCAGAUUGUUGACUACUGGAACUGUGCUUGUGGCCACCAGUAACCGAGCACCAAAGGAUUUAAAUCAGGAUGGUAUGCAAAGAGAGAUCUUCCUAAAAUUGGUUUCAAAAUUGGAGAAGCACUGUGAGAUAGUUCUGAUUGGAAGUGAGAUUGAUUAUCGACGUUUUAUAGCUCAAAGAUCCAAAGACCAGGUGAGAUGCUGUGUGGUUAUACUUGGUUUUCUUCCCUAUUUAUGUAUGCUUUUGUUUGAUCAUGUGUUCCUUCUUCCUCCAUCUGCCUGCCAGAUUUGCUUCAUUUUAGCAUCUUUAUAUUUGUUAGUAUUUUUAGUAUCUUGAAAUUUUCCACAACCUGUUUACAAUUUUCAAAUUCACAGUUUGAUGCUAAAUAUUAUUUUGAAGAUCAUCUUAUCUUCAAAUCUUCACUUUUUCUGUAGCAAGGUCCUUGAUGUUUCUCAUGGUCAUUAAUUUACUGUGUUUCUUUUGGUUAUAUUCUAGUUUGUCAUCUCUCAGAUUUAUUUUAUUAUGUAAAUCUUCUAAUCAUGAUCUCAGCAUAAGGAAAUGCUAGUCUCUUAGUACUGGAGCCAAGCUGAGGCGUGUGAUUUAUCUCCCAUGGUUUUCCUUUAGCAGUUCCAUGGUACUAUUUUCAGUGUCCUUUUGUUCUUAUAGUAGUUCAAGUUAGUUGAGUCACUCUCAUGCAGAUUUUGGUGUCAUUGUACAUUCCCAAUUAACAAUCAAAAUCUUUGUGUUGUUUGGUGAUGCUCUCAUGUCCAGUCCAUCAGUUCCUGCAGAUCCAUUAAUCUUUUUCAAUCAGUGAGAUAGAGUAGAGAACUGCAACCAAUAUUAAUUUCUUUUUAGAAAAGAAAUCGAAACAAAAAUUUCAGUAGAAAUUAUCAGCUUGCUUUUGUAUGUUUGUCUAUAUCUAGUUGGUUGAAACUAUAAUUGCACAUAUGCAGGUUCACUAUUUCUGGCCAUUGGAGAACAGUGUUGUGAAGGAAUUUGAGAAAAUUUGGUGUCAGGUCACAGACCACUUGGAAGGAGAAAUCACCUCCUGUUACCAUUCCGGUUAUGUUUGGGAGGUACUUUUCAAACAUAUUAAUCUAUUAUAUGUUUGGUAUCCAAUUGGAACUAGAAAGUCAGAGGUUCUCAAAAGCUGCCAUGGAGUGGGAAAGUUCAUAUUCGAAUAUCUAUGUUGUCAGCCGGUAUUAUAUUUUCUUUUUAUGAAUUUUUUUAAAAUUCUUUUCUCCCCAAAUAUGUGAACAAUGUUUUUUUAAUUAUGUAUCUAGUCAUGCAUAUUUAGUUAAAGAUAUUUGUUUACAUUGUACUCUGUUUUCUCAUUUUCUUGUUAAUAGAUAAGUUUUGAUGGUAUAUGAAUUUUCUAAUCCAUAUAUGUUCGCAAUCUGAUCUAAUAUGUCAGUAACAUGGCUGAAAGAGACGGAGCACCAGGAAUUAGGAAAAAGAUGAAAGGAUAACCGCAGGCUACAAUGAACCUAAGAAUCUCAGUAUGAUAUUGUCAAAAUUAGUUUCCUGUGAAUGAGAGAGAUGUGCAAGCAUUAUGUAUCAUAAAAGUUCACAAAUGGGCAGACUAGGUAAAAAAUAUUUUUCAAAAGACUUGACUGAGAGAUGCAUUUUGCAAAGUUCCAUUGAUGGGAAAGAGAUUUCUUCACUUUGUUCUCAUGGCUUUAGAAGUUGACUUAGUUCUUGGGAAAAUCCUUGUCCUAUUCUUAUCUCAGCGCUGAAAAGUGCAAAACUUUAUUUGAAAUAUUAUAUGCUUUGUUUAUUUUUAGAUGGUGGAUGAUCGACUCUCUUUUUGGCGUAUUAAGUUCUUUAACCCCUUUUGGGUGGUGAUUAUCUUACUGUUGAUUAUGCAGCAAGGAGUGGCAGAUUAUAUUGCAGUUGUAAAAAUUUAUCAAAUUGUCUUCUUCAUCUCUGAUUUUCCAACAAUGAGAAUGCGAAUCCGUGGCAAGGUAACACUCUCUUUUUAAUGCUACCUGAACAAAUUUACUGUGUAUGAGGCCAGUCAGAAAGGAAGGAGAGGGGAGAUAGAGAGAGAGAGAGGUAGAGGAAGGAAGGGAAGAGGCGUUAGACCUGUAUGUUCUCUUGGAGCUAUGUUAACCCUUUUGGCAUUGAAGCUAUGUGGCAUAAUGUUUCCCUUCUCUUUUCACUUCUGCUGGCUCAUAUGCACACAAAACAUUUUACAUAUGACUAUGAAGAUGAGCUCAUGCAUGUAAUGUAAGCAUUCGCUUUGGAUCCUUAAUAUCUAUUGCUGUAUAACAGAUUUGGAAUCUUAAUCAAACCAUAUUGUCAGUUAAGAUUCAUUAUUUCAAAUAGAUAACAAAUUUGUGUCUUUUGCUUUCCAGGCACGUAGAUUUAUCACCCUCAUAGAUGAGUCAUACAAUCAUCGUUGCUGCCUGUUUUGUUCUACAGCUACUUCUAUUGAUGACGCAUUUCAAGGAACUGAAGAGGGUACAUUGUUUGAUUUGGAAGGAUAGUUUUUCUUUGUGUUUGUGCUGGCCUUAAUUGUUAUGUUACAACAGGUUAUGAUGACACAAGAUAAUUUAUAUUCUACCUGUGCAUUUGAAUCUGCUAGUUCUUUCUUUCAAUAUUUGCUUUUCAAAUUAAGCAUAUUUGCCAUAUCCUUCAGCAGUCUCACAAUUUUGUUUUUCCUUCUUGCUUAAGGUUUUCUUAUAAUUUUAUGAAAAUUUUUGGGGGGUUGUUUGUUAUGACCAAGGAUGGAUAAAAUAUGAGAGACACUGUAGCCUGCACAAAGGAAAACAGAGGAGAAUAGCCUAGAUAGAUGGUUGAUUUGUAACAGAUUAUGUUAGGAAAGCAUGUAUAAAAUCAUAUGAGACUUGGAGAAUCAUCGUCAAAUCAAUUGACAAAGAAUUUCGUUCUCUCUCCCUCCUCUUCUCUGCUCCUUCCUUCUUUCUCUCCUUUCUUUCUCAUUUUCCCUCUAUUUCUGGGUGCCCAAACACCUCAGUAUCCCAGUGCUGAACAUUGUUAUUAUUGAAUAUGUUAUUAGUAUGCAACAAUAUAUAUAUAUAUAUAUAUCUGUAGACUGCUUUUUUUCCCAUGCAUAUUAUAGUUUGUUUUGUCUGUUUGCGUGUUUCUUUCUCUCUUUCAUCUGUUCCUUUUGAAGUUGUAAAAUCUUAACCAGUUUAUUUUAGAUGACCAAUACUAUCCAGAAGAAG